RNAcentral lists this ribosomal RNA (730 nucleotides) under uncultured zygomycete. Its description in RNAcentral is "SSU rRNA". It matches the Rfam family "Eukaryotic small subunit ribosomal RNA", at positions 402 to 1142 of the family's 1831-position model. Lineage: Eukaryota; Fungi. The record is from RNAcentral.
AACGGCUACCACAUCCAAGGAAGGCAGCAGGCGCGCAAAUUACCCAAUCCCGAUACGGGGAGGUAGUGACAAUAAAUAACAAUACAGGGCUUUAUAGUCUUGUAAUUGGAAUGAGUACAAUUUAAAUCUCUUAACGAGGAACAAUUGGAGGGCAAGUCUGGUGCCAGCAGCCGCGGUAAUUCCAGCUCCAAUAGCGUAUAUUAAAGUUGUUGCAGUUAAAAAGCUCGUAGUUGAAUUUUAGGCCUGGUUGGACGGUCUGCUCUAGGGUUUGUACUGUCCUGACUGGGUCUUACCUUCUGGUGAGCUGUCGUAUUGUUUACUCAGUGCGGCAGGGAACCAGGACUUUUACUUUGAAAAAAUUAGAGUGUUUAAAGCAGGCAUUCGCUUGAAUACAUUAGCAUGGAAUAAUAGAAUAGGACUUUGGUUCUAUUUUGUUGGUUUCUAGGACCGAAGUAAUGAUUAAUAGGGAUAGUUGGGGGCAUUAGUAUUUAAUUGUCAGAGGUGAAAUUCUUGGAUUUAUUAAAGACUAACUUCUGCGAAAGCAUUUGCCAAGGAUGUUUUCAUUAAUCAAGAACGAAAGUUAGGGGAUCGAAGACGAUCAGAUACCGUCGUAGUCUUAACCAUAAACUAUGCCGACUAGGGAUCAGGCAAGGAUAUUUUGACUUGUUUGGCACCUUAUGAGAAAUCAAAGUUUUUGGGUUCCGGGGGGAGUAUGGUCGCAAGGCUGAAA